Molecule: small nucleolar RNA, 133 nt
Organism: Phragmites australis (common reed)
Lineage: Eukaryota; Viridiplantae; Streptophyta; Magnoliopsida; Poales; Poaceae
Product: small nucleolar RNA Z247
Exons: 1
Source: RefSeq, a predicted model, not a curated record
CCCCUGGACGAUGAAGAGAUGGUCUCCUACAUAAUCACUGACCUCCAACUUCAUCCCAUAGUGUCUGCUAUUUUGGCAAGAACGGAACCCAUCUUGGUUAGCGAGCUCUACUCUCAACUCCUGAGUUUUGAGA